RNAcentral lists this ribosomal RNA (344 nucleotides) under Centruroides robertoi. Its description in RNAcentral is "partial large subunit ribosomal RNA". It matches the Rfam family "Bacterial large subunit ribosomal RNA", at positions 2047 to 2600 of the family's 2925-position model. The record is from RNAcentral. Lineage: Eukaryota; Metazoa; Arthropoda; Arachnida; Scorpiones; Buthidae.
AGUUCUUUCUUAAUUUUUCUUUUAAAUUUUAUCUUUUAGUAAAAAGGCUAAAAUGUAUCUUUUAGACAAGAAGACCCUAUAAAGCUUUACAUAAAAUAAUCUAAUAAAUUAAAAAUAUGUUUUACUGGGGCGGUGAAAAGAAAAACACUUUUAAAUUAUUAUAGACAAUGUAGUCUUAAUACCCAGAAUUUUUGAAAGUUAAAUAAGUUACUUUAGGGAUAACAGCGUAAUAUGUUUUGAAAGCUCAAAUUGACAAACAUGUUUGCGACCUCGAUGUUGGAUUAGUUUUCCUUUACUAUGCAAGAGUAUUAACAGGAGGUCUGUUCGACCUUUAAAGAAUUCCA